RNAcentral lists this unclassified non-coding RNA (370 nucleotides) under uncultured bacterium. RNAcentral describes it as "contains 16S-23S intergenic spacer region". The record is from RNAcentral.
UCCGGUUUGUCACCGGCAGUCUCCCUAGAGUGCCCUUGCGUAGCAACUAGGGACAAGGGUUGCGCUCGUUGCGGGACUUAACCCAACAUCUCACGACACGAGCUGACGACAACCAUGCACCACCUGUCACCGCUGUCCCCGAAGGGAAAAGUGUAUCUCUACACCGGGCAGCGGGAUGUCAAGACCUGGUAAGGUUCUUCGCGUUGCUUCGAAUUAAACCACAUGCUCUACCGCUUGUGCGGGCCCCCGUCAAUUCCUUUGAGUUUCAACCUUGCGGCCGUACUUCCCAGGCGGAAUACUUAAUGCGUUAGCUGCGGCACCGGCGGUAACCCGCCGACACUUAGUAUUCAUAGUUUAAGGCGUGGACUAC